Molecule: ribosomal RNA, 253 nt
Filed under: uncultured bacterium
Lineage: Bacteria
Description: partial 16S ribosomal RNA
Rfam family: Bacterial small subunit ribosomal RNA
Source: RNAcentral
UACGUAGGCAGCGAGCGUUGUUCGGAAUUACUGGGCGUAAAGAGUGUGUAGGUGGUGUCGUAAGUUUGGUGUGAAAUCUCCCGGCUUAACUGGGAGGGUGCGCCGAAGACUGCGAUGCUGGAGUAUGGGAGAGGAAAGCGGAAUUCCUGGUGUAGCGGUGAAAUGCGUAGAUAUCUGGAGGAAUACCGGUGGCGAAGGCGGCAUCCUGGACCGACAUUGACGCUGAAGGCCGAAAGCUAGGGGAGCAAACGGG